CAAGAGGCGGAGGGAGAGAAGGAUGAGUGGAUAUCAGCGCUGACUGAGAAGCCUUCGUUUUCUGUCAUUCCUCCGCCGUCCCGGGAAGCUCCUUCUCCUUUCUCUCUUUUCCUGCCUUUCUCCAUUUCUUCUCUGCCUCCCUCCGGACCAGAGCCUGACUGCGAAGCGUCCUCCAAGAGGCCCGCCCCUGCAGCCCGACUCGGGGGGAACCCACCAGCUCGCCACAUCGCGAUGGGCUGCGCAACGGGCCACCUGGCUUGCCAGCCGCAGGCCAACGCGGGGCCGGAGGGUCACUCGUUGGAGGCGGGCGGGGCCAAAGUGCCUGAGGUGCUCUCCUCUCUGGAGCGACUGUCCCAGGCCACCGGUGGCAUGGAGAAGUCCUGGUACCGCUGCAUCUUUCCCUUCGGAAUCAUCUCCCUGGUGAUCGGUGUGGCGGGGACCGGGGUGACCUACACCUACAACGACCUGCCUCAGACUAAAGUGGUGUCAGUGGUUCUGCUGGUCAUGGGCCUUUUGCUGAUGCUGAUGGCCACUGCCUGUUGGAUUGUCCACAAGAGGAAGAGGAGGAAAAAGAAAGAGGGGGGCUCGUUCACUUCCGAGCAGUCUCCCCUGUGAAGCACGUGGGGAAAUCAGCGGCGGGAACUCGAAAGUAGAGACAUGGCCACUGCCGGGAGAUCAAGGGGUUGGCUAAAGCAGCCGCAACUUUUCCCUUCUCUCAGCGCAUAAAUCCCCUCUAUUCUUUAGCACCAUUUGGCUCCGCUAAUACCGGAAGGAACCAAAGUGGAGAAAUCAUAGAGAGUGGAAGGACAGAUAGGCAGGAAGUAUCUGUUUCGCCUGUAAAAUUUUGGAUCGACGAGGAGCGAUCGCCAAUGCCUCACACGCUCUUUUAUCGUCAGACAGCCGGUGUCCGGUGUCAAAACAACCUCCGAGGAGACACACACACACACAAAUAUGCAUCGCACACCGCAUGCAUAUUUACGCUCACGGAUGCACGGCCCUCGCGGUCCGCGCUCACAUAUGCAACCAGCGGUCAAAGUGGGAGCUCUGAGCAGGACACCCAACCCGCUAUGCAGAGCUGCUGCCGGAUUCAAUGCUGGCGUCACUAGGCACGUCAGUCACAGCAUUCCUCCUGCCAGGACAGGUGACUCUCCAAGAGGCCAGAAGUGGGCCAAAGACGGUAACCCAAUACCUGGGCCGAAAGAGCAGCGCGCCCCGCGUCAGCGGCCAGCGUCAUUCACUCGUCCUGUGACACCGCAGCAAUGUGUUGGGAGCUUUUUUUACGCAACGGGAGAGUGGAACUUGAGUCCUGCAGGAUCCUGGUGGCAUCUGUGUGAACGAUGAGCCGGAGAGAGGCCGGAGGAUCCGAUCGCCCGGCGGAGGGAAAGGUGUUUGCGUGUGCUUGAAUAAAGAUUUGGGUGAACUGAAAGUCCGUUGGACCCUUGCACUUGGACACUACUGGACACACAAACGAUUUCCACAUGUAGCCGUGUCCACGCCAAGCGAGAGGAACUCCUAGUGGAGCGGCGCGCUCCGAAAGGCCUUUCGUAGCUUCCCGCUGCAAAGGGGGCCACUGACUGACACAUUUCCCCCCGGGCCCCCAGUGUCUUCGUGGGGCUCCUCGACCCCACGCAGGACAGUCCAGGAUUACUGAAGGACACUACCCGAGGGGACAUGCCACUGUAGGGACACUUUAACUGAUCCCGCUCCCCUCGGGCCCCUCCCUCUUGGUGCCUUGAGCAAGCACUCAUGGAAAAAGGCUCUGUUGCAUUCCACCGUUUCCAUCUGAACCUCUGAGAAUUUCCCCCCCUUGUUCUCUCUCUCUCUCUCUCUCUCUCUCUCUCUCUCUCUCUUCACCCCGACAGGACUCUCCUCAUUCAUCACACAUGCCGUCCUCUGUCCUAAAUCCACCGUUUAUGACUUGAUUCCCCUCAUUUCACCAUUGUUAUAUAGUCCAGCCACACACACUUAAAUGUAAUGCUCAAGUCCCACAAACAUUUGUCUUUAUUACUCCUCGCCAAAGAAAAUGGGAUCAUUUUGCUCUCAAUGGUGGAAAGUAUUGAAAAUAUGGUAAAAUCACCGCUUGUGGUCAAAAUGUUUCUGGGGUUUCCGUUUCGCCACAGAGAGUAAGCUGUAAAUAGGUGCUUUCGGUUUGCGUGGUCUCACGGGAUGAGACCAUUUUAGUCUCGUCUUAAAUAUUCUCGUCACUGAAUGUAACACAGGACAGAAAAUACAGAUAGAGGAAGGCAAAAUAACAGAAUGUAUAGAAAACAAAUGGAGUCUAAGCCCAUUUGCCUUUACCCUUGAGAACCACUUUUGAUCACCGCUUCAUUGAUUCACGCUGCCGGAUUUUACGUUCUUUCUUAGCUCAGUGCAGUGAAGAGCGUUGUGCUUGCGUACUCGUACUUGCUGACUUUCAAGCUACAUCGUGACGGUGAGUUGGCACUAUAAUAUUAAUGCCUGGUGACCAGAAUUUGUGUGUUUAGAGAUGUGAAGUGAUUUCCCUUCUGCCUUUUGAAAAACUAAAGGGAAGGUCUACCUCUCUGCUGCGGGGGACGUACUCCCCUCAGCCAGCCGACCGCCUCGCUGUCUGCGCACGCCGGUUGUGGCUGGCGAGUGACGAGAAGUUUGUGUGCCCUCUAAUAUUUGGUGCUGUAUAUAUGACAAUUUUAUAUUUCUACUGUAUAUUUUUACUCAUAUGUACAGUUUAUUCGUUGUAUUAAAAUGAAUGUUACCCAAGCA
This is a long non-coding RNA of Gasterosteus aculeatus aculeatus (three-spined stickleback), 2739 nucleotides long. The record is from Ensembl. NCBI's taxonomy places the organism in Eukaryota, Metazoa, Chordata, Actinopteri, Perciformes, Gasterosteidae.